GUUUAAAGUGUUUUUCCAAUGCUUGAAUAUAGGUGCGUGAGCAAGCGGCACAGGGAUCCAGGAAUGAAUGAUUGACACAAAUAAAAUAUAAACGAAAGCGAUUUAUUUACAGCAGUUAACAAGAAUAAAAGUUAUGACAAGACUAAAAAAGUCUUAACUAGGAUAUAAGCCUAACCUUAACUAAUACUAUACAAUAUACUAUUCUACAAUAUUUGUCGGUUCGAGAGAGUGUGAGACGAGCCCUCCACAUACCUGAGAGAGAGAAUUUAUCAGUUACAUGAAUAAUCCAUUUGAUUGCUAAUCUAAUAAAUGUCCACAAAUGUCUAUUGUCCAAAAGUUCACGAGUGUCCACUCACACACCACUUUGUCGCUAUGUUCCUGCUCCAUCGCCAUUGUCCUGCGUUUGUCCAUCAUCUCCCUCUGCGUGGGUGUCCAUUGGCGCCCCGACGGUACAAGUCGCUUUUCCUGUUGUUUCAGCUCACGUUUCGGUUGUUGUUCAUUCAUUAUGUAAGGAAGUAGUCGUCUUCUCUCUGUAUCUAUCUCCGCUUUCCUCUGUCUCUCCCUCUUUCUUCUAUGAUUCAUUCGCUUUUAUAUCUUGUCACUUGGGUGUUUGCCGACACCUGUUGAACAUCUGCUCUCACGGUUCGGCUCUUACGUUGUUUAUCUUCAGAGACGAUUCCCAUGUCAUUUUAUUUAUAUUUAUUUUAAAUACAGAAGUUAACAAUA
RNAcentral lists this long non-coding RNA (726 nucleotides) under Androctonus crassicauda. The record is from RNAcentral. Lineage: Eukaryota; Metazoa; Arthropoda; Arachnida; Scorpiones; Buthidae.